UACGGGGGGAGCAAGCGUUGUUCGGAUUUACUGGGCGUAAAGGGCGCGUAGGCGGCCAGCACAAGUCAGUUGUGAAAUCUCCGAGCUUAACUCGGAAAGGUCAACUGAUACUGUGCGGCUAGAGUGCGGAAGGGGCAACUGGAAUUCUUGGUGUAGCGGUGAAAUGCGUAGAUAUCAAGAGGAACACCUGCGGCGAAGGCGGGUAGCUGGGCCGACACUGACGCUGAUGCGCGAAAGCCAGGGGAGCGAACGGG
This 254-nucleotide ribosomal RNA is filed under the name uncultured bacterium. Its description in RNAcentral is "partial 16S ribosomal RNA". It matches the Rfam family "Bacterial small subunit ribosomal RNA", at positions 524 to 776 of the family's 1533-position model. The record is from RNAcentral.